CCUACGGGAGGCUGCAGUGGGGAAUAUUGGACAAUGGGGGGAACCCUGAUCCAGCCAUGCCGCGUGUGUGAAGAAGGCCCUCGGGUUGUAAAGCACUUUCAGUGAGGAAGAACGCCUGGUGGUUAAUACCCAUCAGGAAAGACAUCACUCACAGAAGAAGCACCGGCUAACUCCGUGCCAGCAGCCGCGGUAAUACGGAGGGUGCGAGCGUUAAUCGGAAUUACUGGGCGUAAAGCGCGCGUAGGUGGCUUGAUAAGCCGGUUGUGAAAGCCCCGGGCUCAACCUGGGAACGGCAUCCGGAACUGUCAAGCUAGAGUGCAGGAGAGGAAGGUAGAAUUCCCGGUGGAGCGGUGAAAUGCGUAGAGAUCGGGAGGAAUACCAGUGGCGAAGGCGGCCUUCUGGACUGACACUGAAACUGAGGUGCGAAAGCGUGGGUAGCAAACAGGAUUAGAUACCCUAGUAGUC
Molecule: ribosomal RNA, 465 nt
Filed under: Vreelandella stevensii
Lineage: Bacteria; Pseudomonadati; Pseudomonadota; Gammaproteobacteria; Oceanospirillales; Halomonadaceae
Description: partial 16S ribosomal RNA
Rfam family: Bacterial small subunit ribosomal RNA
Source: RNAcentral